RNAcentral lists this ribosomal RNA (649 nucleotides) under uncultured archaeon. RNAcentral's name for it is "bacterial SSU rRNA". It matches the Rfam family "Bacterial small subunit ribosomal RNA", at positions 426 to 1088 of the family's 1533-position model. The record is from RNAcentral.
ACAGAAUCUUUUAUGAGGGAAGAAGUUAUUGACGGUACCUCAUGAAUAAGGGGCUCCUAAUCUCGUGCCAGCAGGAGCGGUAAUACGAGAGCCCCGAGCGUUAUCCGGAAUUAUUGGGCGUAAAGGGUGCGUAGGUGGUUGUAUUAGUCGUUUGUCAAAUCUUCAGGCUUAACCUGAAAUCCGCGAACGAAACGGUACAACUAGAGAAUGUGAGAGGUGUACAGAACUUAUGGUGUAGGGGUGAAAUCCGUUGAUAUCAUAGGGAAUACCAAAAGCGAAGGCAGUACACUGGCACAUAUCUGACACUCAAGCACGAAAGCGUGGGUAGCGAAUGGGAUUAGAUACCCCAGUAGUCCACGCCCUAAACGAUGAUCUCUAGUCUUUCGGAGUAUCGACCCUCUGAGAGACACAGCUAACGCGUUAAGAGAUCCGCCUGGGAAGUACGGCCGCAAGGCUAAAACUCAAAGGAAUAGACGGGGACUUGCACAAGCAGUGGAUUAUGUGGUUUAAUUCGACGGUAAACGAAGAACCUUACCAAGGUUAGAAAUCUAGACGAAAGCUCUAAGAAACUAGAGACCUCGCAAGACGGUUAGACAAGUGUUGCAUGGGCGUCGUCAGUUCGUGGGUUUGAAUUGUUCCCUUAAGUGGG